Molecule: ribosomal RNA, 207 nt
Filed under: uncultured bacterium
Lineage: Bacteria
Description: partial 16S ribosomal RNA
Rfam family: Bacterial small subunit ribosomal RNA
Source: RNAcentral
CGCGUAGGCGGGGUCGUAGGUCGGUCGUGAAAUCCACCGGCUCAACCGGUGAACUGCGGUCGAAACUGCGACUCUUGAGGUAGGUAGAGGAAGGCGGAAUUCCUGGUGUAGCGGUGGAAUGCGUAGAUAUCAGGAAGAACACCGGUAGCGAAGGCGGCCUUCUGGGCCUCACCUGACGCUGAGGCGCGAAAGCUGGGGGAGCGAACA